This 397-nucleotide ribosomal RNA is filed under the name uncultured bacterium. RNAcentral's name for it is "partial 16S ribosomal RNA". It matches the Rfam family "Bacterial small subunit ribosomal RNA", at positions 523 to 918 of the family's 1533-position model. The record is from RNAcentral.
AUACGUAGGGGGCGAGCGUUGUCCGGAAUGAUUGGGCGUAAAGGGCGCGUAGGCGGCCUGUUAAGUCUGGAGUGAAAGUCCUGUUUUCAAGAUGGGAAUUGCUUUGGAUACUGAUGGGCUUGAGUGCAGGAGAGGUUAUCGGAAUUCCCGGUGUAGCGGUGAAAUGCGUAGUGAUCGGGAGGAACACCAGUGGCGAAGGCGGGUAACUGGACUGCAACUGACGCUGAGGCGCGAAAGUGUGGGGAGCAAACAGGAUUAGAUACCCUGGUAGUCCACACUGUAAACGAUGAAUGCUAGGUGUAAGAGGUAUCGACCCCUUUUGUGCCGGAGUUAACACAAUAAGCAUUCCGCCUGGGGAGUACGGCCGCAAGGUUGAAACUCAAAGGAAUUGACGGGG